ACUAUGCGCUGUCCGUCAAGAUGGGGGAAAAACUUUAUUUUUUUUCCCUUAAAAGAGGAAAAGGCGGGGAAAUUCUAGAGCUUUACAUGCUAAAAACCCCGACUUACGAAGGGGGGUGUUUAUUAGAUUCAAAACCAAUGCCCUCCGGGGCUUAAAUGGUGACUCAUAAUAACUUCUCCGGAUCGCACGGCCUUGCGCGGGCGAGGGGUUCAUUCAAAUUUCUGCCCCUAUCAACUUUCGAUGGCUGGGUCUUGGCCCAGCCAUGGGUGAUAACGGGGUAACGGAGGGAUUUAGGGCCUCGACCCCCGGAGAAAGGAGCCUUGAGAGACGGCUACUACAUCCAAGGAAGGCAGCAGGCGCGCAAAUUAACCCAAUCCCGAUUCGGGGAGGUAGUGACAAUACAUACCUGAUACAGGGCUCUUUUGGGCUCUUGUAAUUGGAAUGAGUACAAUUUAAAUCCCUUAACGAGGAACAAUUGCAGGGCAAGUCUGGUGCCAGCAGCCGCGGUAAUUCCAGCUGCAAUAGCGUAUAUUAAAGUUGUUGAGGUUAAAAAGCUCGUAGUUGAACCCUUGGGCCUGGCUGGCUGGUCCGCCUCACCGCGUGCACUGGUUCGGCUGGGCCUUUCCCACUGGGGAGUCGCAUGCCCUUUACUGGGUGUGUCGAGGAACCAGGACUUUUACUCUGAACAAAUCAGAUCGCUUAAAGAAGGCCUUUGCUUGAAUGUUCUAGCAUGGAAUAAUAGAAUAGGACGUGUGGUUCUAUUUUGUUGGUUUCUAGGACCGCCGUAAUGAUUAAUAGGGACAGUCGGGGGCAUCAGUAUUCAAUUGUCAGAGGUGAAAUUCUUGGAUUUAUUGAAGACUAACUUCUGCGAAAGCAUUUGCCAAGGAUGUUAUCAAUAAUCAGUUUUUUUUUAAUUUUGCUUCCCCCCCAAAAAAAAAAAAGGUAGAGUUUUUUUUAAAAUAUUCCUCCCCCCCAAAAAAAAAAAAGGGGAAGUUUUGUUCUAAUACUUUUUCUCGCCAAAAAGA
This 1025-nucleotide ribosomal RNA is filed under the name Phyllachora sp. Its description in RNAcentral is "partial 18S ribosomal RNA". It matches the Rfam family "Eukaryotic small subunit ribosomal RNA", at positions 81 to 1116 of the family's 1831-position model. The record is from RNAcentral. Lineage: Eukaryota; Fungi; Ascomycota; Sordariomycetes; Phyllachorales; Phyllachoraceae.